AGCUAGUACGUAUAAGUCUGCUUCUCAAUAACUUCAAUUUUUCAGUUGCAUUGCUUUGUAGUGUGCACCAUUUCCAUAUAUAUGAUCUGUACAUUACCAGCCGGCCUUGGCUCUAUCUCCUAUUUCUUAACCUAGUUCUCUUCUUCUGAACCUCUUUAACUUUUUUUUUUCCCUCAUAUAUUCCUUAAUUAUUUCUUCUAUAGACCUCCUCCAUUUUGCAACCUAGUCUAGACCGCACCAGCUUUCAGUUGCGAUUCCAUUAAUGAAUUGGAAAUUUAUUUAAUUUCUUCUUUCUGUUUUAGAAAAGCGGGAUCCUAUUCCUAUGUCCUAACGAACCCCAUUGGGAUGGGGAAAAGAUUUACAUUACUGGCCGUCUUUUUGAAAACUAAGCUCCCAUCUAGCCAUAGAUUUGCCUUUUUCUUUUGAAAAUGUAUUGGUGGUGAAAAAGAACUGCAUGGAUAUUAGACCGCUGACGUAGUAUGACGCGUGAAACAAUAAUGCAGCGACACGCAGCACUCUUAUUUGAUGGAAAAAGAAAAGGCAUGGGGAGAAAUACCCACGAGACGGCACCAGGCCUAACAACUGGCAAAAAAAUGAAUAAAUAGUAGAAAGAAGCAAAAAUACAUUGACCGGAAAGAAAUAAGGAAGGGGAAUCGUAACAGAUGUAAGGUAUUUAUAGUAAUAAAUGCAUCGGUUAUGAGAAUCCAAAAUAAUGAGCAAUCAAUAUCAUUAAUGCCUAUAAUUAGCCCAAAUUAUGGGUAAAAAACCGUUACUAUUUUAUAUUCUUAUAUAUGGGCGCCAAAUAUUUGUAAGGACA
This 817-nucleotide long non-coding RNA is filed under the name Nicotiana benthamiana. RNAcentral's name for it is "long non-coding RNA (NBEN_LNC018685)". The record is from RNAcentral. Lineage: Eukaryota; Viridiplantae; Streptophyta; Magnoliopsida; Solanales; Solanaceae.